This is a long non-coding RNA of Polypterus senegalus (gray bichir), 275 nucleotides long. RefSeq lists it as uncharacterized. NCBI's taxonomy places the organism in Eukaryota, Metazoa, Chordata, Cladistia, Polypteriformes, Polypteridae. The record is from RefSeq and is a predicted model, not a curated record. The transcript has 3 exons.
UCACAGGGGUCUGCUGGUGCCAAUCCCACCCAACACAGGGCGCAAGGCAAGAACCAAUCCAGGGCAGCAUUGUUCUUUCAUAAGAUAAAAUUCAUGAUUGUGUUGUUUCAUUAUUUCUUUCUUAUUAUAUAUACAUUUGUUAUAUCAACACUCAACGGCUUUUUCAUCCCUGGGUAUUUUAUUGCAACAAUCGUUAUUUUAUUUUGCCUGGCUACUUUGCUUUAUCUCAUGAAAAUUCAACGUCAGUACAAAUGUCCAGGUAAGGUUUUAACUUU